Molecule: ribosomal RNA, 440 nt
Filed under: uncultured bacterium
Lineage: Bacteria
Description: bacterial SSU rRNA
Rfam family: Bacterial small subunit ribosomal RNA
Source: RNAcentral
AGCGAACGCUGGCGGCAUGCUUAACACAUGCAAGUCGCACGGGCAGUAGCAAUACUGUCAGUGGCGGACGGGUGAGUAACGCGUAGGAAUCUAUCCUUGAAUGGGGGACAACCGUGGGAAACUACGGCUAAUACCGCAUGAUGCCUGAGGGCCAAAGACGAAAGUCGUUUGAGGAGGAGCCUGCGUCUGAUUAGCUUGUUGGUGGGGUAAAGGCCUACCCAAGGCGACGAUCAGUAGCUGGUCUGAGAGGAUGAUCAGCCACAUUGGGACUGAGACACGGCCCAAACUCCUACGGGAGGCAGCAGUGGGGAAUAUUGGACAAUGGGCGCAAGCCUGAUCCAGCAAUGCCGCGUGGGUGAAGAAGGUCUUCGGAUUGUAAAGCCCUUUCGGCGGGGACGAUAAUGACGGUACCCGCAGAAGAAGCUCCGGCUAACUUCGUG